Small nucleolar RNA from Mangifera indica (mango), 88 nucleotides. RefSeq annotates it as small nucleolar RNA SNORD96 family. The record is from RefSeq and is a predicted model, not a curated record. NCBI's taxonomy places the organism in Eukaryota, Viridiplantae, Streptophyta, Magnoliopsida, Sapindales, Anacardiaceae. The transcript has a single exon.
UGGCCUAGGAGGAUAUCAUUCACAAAAUACCAUCUUUCGGGACUGAGUGGUAUUUAAGCCUUGCUGAAAUUCUGCAAUUCUGAGGCCU